RNAcentral lists this ribosomal RNA (429 nucleotides) under uncultured bacterium. RNAcentral describes it as "partial 16S ribosomal RNA". It matches the Rfam family "Bacterial small subunit ribosomal RNA", at positions 338 to 795 of the family's 1533-position model. The record is from RNAcentral.
CCUACGGGGGGCUGCAGUAACGAAUCUUCCCCAAUGCACGAAAGUGUGAGGGAGCGACGCCGCGUGGAGGAUGAAGUCCUUCGGGAUGUAAACUCCUGUCAGGGGUUAGAUCAACCCCAAAGGAAGAGGCGGCUAACUCUGUGCCAGCAGCCGCGGUAAGACAGAGGCCUCAAGCGUUAGGCGGAAUCACUGGGCUUAAAGCGUGUGUAGGCGGAUCGUUAAGUGCCUUGUGAAAUCCCACGGCUCAACCGUGGAACUGCUUGGCAUACUGGCGGUCUUGAGCCAUCUAGGGGUCGCUGGAACAAACGGUGGAGCGGUGAAAUGCGUAGAUAUCGUUUGGAACGCCUAUGGUGAAAACAGGCGACUGGGAGUGCUGACGCUGAGACACGAAAGCCAGGGGAGCAAACGGGAUUAGAUACCCUUGUAGUC